This 338-nucleotide unclassified non-coding RNA is filed under the name soil metagenome. RNAcentral's name for it is "partial contains 5.8S ribosomal RNA, internal transcribed spacer 2, and large subunit ribosomal RNA". The stretch from base 1 to 120 matches the Rfam family "5.8S ribosomal RNA", at positions 35 to 154 of the family's 154-position model. The record is from RNAcentral.
GAUGAAGAACGCAGCGAAAUGCGAUAAGUAAUGUGAAUUGCAGAAUUCAGUGAAUCAUCGAAUCUUUGAACGCACAUUGCGCCCGCCAGUAUUCUGGCGGGCAUGCCUGUUCGAGCGUCAUUUCAACCAUCAAGCCCCCGGGCUUGUGUUGGGGACCUGCGGCUGCCGCAGGCCCUGAAAAGCAGUGGCGGGCUCGCUGUCACACCGAGCGUAGUAGCACAUCUCGCUCAGGGCGUGCGGCGGGUUCUUGCCGUAAAACAACCCCCCCUUUUCACCAAGGUUGACCUCGGAUCAGGUAGGAAUACCCGCUGAACUUAAGCAUAUCAAUAAGCGGAGGA